UUCGCAAUGCCCGAAAGGGUGACGAAGCGACGCCGCGUGUGGGAAGAAGGCCUUCGGGUUGUAAACUGCUGUCACAUGUUAAGAAUGGUCUGGGGUAAAUAGCCCUCGACUUGACAAAGGCAUGAGAGGAAGUCACGGCUAACUUCGUGCCAGCAGCCGCGGUAAGACGAAGGUGGCAAGCGUUGCUCGGAAUUACUGGGCAUAAAGAGCGCGUAGGUGGCUUGGUAAGUCGGUGGUGAAAUCCUAUGGCUCAACCAUAGAACUGCCAUCGAUACUGCUAGGCUUGAGGGCAGGAGGGGAGAGUGGAACUCCUGGUGUAGCGGUGAAAUGCGUAGAUAUCAGGAGGAACGCCGGUGGCGAAAGCGACUCUCUGGACUGCUUCUGACACUGAGGCGCGAAAGCUAGGGGAGCAAACAGGAUUAGAUACCCUGGUAGUCCUAGCUGUAAACGAUGGGCACUAAGUAGAGGGGUUUU
This 474-nucleotide ribosomal RNA is filed under the name uncultured bacterium. RNAcentral describes it as "bacterial SSU rRNA". It matches the Rfam family "Bacterial small subunit ribosomal RNA", at positions 365 to 832 of the family's 1533-position model. The record is from RNAcentral.